Long non-coding RNA from Fukomys damarensis (Damara mole-rat), 1535 nucleotides. RefSeq lists it as uncharacterized. The transcript is spliced from 2 exons. The record is from RefSeq and is a predicted model, not a curated record. Lineage: Eukaryota; Metazoa; Chordata; Mammalia; Rodentia; Bathyergidae.
CACGAACACGAGGCUGUCUGCAGGCACCUCGAGUGGCCCGCCACGGCGUGGGAAGGCGUCCUCCGCGUCCGACAGCUCCAGACGAAACAGGGGUCUGCGAAGCCAGGGCCCAGAGCAGGCGAGAGAAUCCUGGGGAGGAAGCGGUUGAGGAAAGAUCCGCUGGGGAGGCCCGCUUUUGCCCGGACUCUGCUCAGGGAUCCGCUAAAGCAGGAAGACCUCGGACCCCUUCCAAGGCGAUGUGGGCACUGGUAUCCAGUUGGAUUCGAGGCUUGGGGUUUUGGGUUUGUAGAGGGCCGCAAUCCCAGAUGGGGAGCACGUGUGCCAAGGGCAGGGGUCCUCUGUUCCUGCCUCUGCGCGUACACACACACACACACACACACACACGCACGCACGCACGCAAACCCUGGCCCGCACACGGAGAUCGGUCUUCAAAGAUGACUCAAUUGGGGUCGCCAAAGAGAAGCUGCAUGCUUGGGUCCCCCAAGCAUUUGGAAAUGGCCCUACUUGCACUGCCUUUGUCCUACGAUAGCUGCUGGGGACUUAGGGGUUGGUGCCCAUCUGGAGAUGGGGGACAAGGAGGCCCCACCCUGUCCCCAUCAGCCUAGGUGGGGCGGACGUGGUCCCCCUAACCUCUACAUACCGAGGGGCCCAUCAGGCAAGGCGGCGGCCCCAGGCAGCAGGAGCAGCAGGAGCGUGGCGCCCAGCAUGCUGUGCCGGCGGAGGACGGAGCCCUGUGGGCCAGCAGCAGACACCUGCGUAGGCUGUGCCCAGGCCCUGCAGGUGGGCAGGGAGCCCUGGCCUUGGCCAGACACCGCUCCAGGAAGCAGAGAGCGGGGGUGAGGGUGGGAGGGCCUGACACCAGAGCCCAUGUCCAAGGCCUGCAGGGAUUAGGGGCUCCUCUCCUGCUCUGCCUGAGAUGCCCGGAGAGCCCCUCCCUCUGGAAAGCUGCCCCUUUGAACGGGCGCCCUCAGUUCCCCCUCCAGAGCUAGGCUCCAACCCAUCCUGGCCUCUCCCCAGGGCGCCCGCCAGGUGCUACCAGGCUGAGGACACACCACACUCAAGAAAAGGGAGGGGUUUUAUUCUCAAGCGUCCAAGGAGUUACAAACGAGGGCGAUUCGUUUUAAAAAGGAACAGGGCAAUACUGGCAGCCUGAGAGGGGCUCCAUGGACCGGUGGGCUGGGCCAGGCCACCCAGGCCGCUGCCCGCCCGGCCCUCUGCCUGGUCCAGAGGGAUGGCUGGUGACAGGGGAGGUCUUGGGAGGGGCAGGGGGCAGCCCCAGGCCCCCACUUAACACUGAAGGGUAGGGGCCGGGCAGACACACUCGCACAACAGGAAAAGUAAAAUAAAAUCGAAACCAGGCAGCCCAGCCUCAGGCCAAGCCGAGCAACCUUCUAGUGACCCUCCCUGGCCGCGGAGGGCAGGGGCCAGGCCACCCACCCUCCCACAGAGGAGGCGGGAGCAGAAGGUGGUCUCCGGGGCAGAGAAGACGGAUUACGUUUAAACAUGCAGCAUCGUGAAUAUAGUAACAGUCUAUA